GGAUGUGAGGACGAUCUGGCUGCGACAUCUGUCACCCCAUUGAUCGCCAGGGUUGAUUCGGCUGAUCUGGCUGGCUAGGCGGGUGUCCCCCUCCUCCCUCACCGAUCCAUGUGCAUCCCUCCCGAAGCUGCGCACUCGGUCGAAGAGGAUGACCCCCCGCACCCUCCCCCCCCAGGAGAGGACCAGUCUUCGGUCAAGGGUAUACGAGUAGCUGCGCUCCCCUGCUAGAACCUCCAAACAAGCUCUCAAGAUCUGGGACCCGGAUGUAGGUCUGAGCCCUGGAUUUAGGUCGGUCCU
Molecule: small nuclear RNA, 297 nt
Filed under: Myotis davidii
Lineage: Eukaryota; Metazoa; Chordata; Mammalia; Chiroptera; Vespertilionidae
Description: 7SK RNA
Rfam family: 7SK RNA
About the family: 7SK was discovered as an abundant small nuclear RNA in the mid-70s but a possible function has only recently been suggested.
Source: Rfam by way of RNAcentral